This 984-nucleotide ribosomal RNA is filed under the name Fusarium falciforme. RNAcentral describes it as "partial large subunit ribosomal RNA". It matches the Rfam family "Eukaryotic large subunit ribosomal RNA", at positions 79 to 1094 of the family's 3401-position model. Lineage: Eukaryota; Fungi; Ascomycota; Sordariomycetes; Hypocreales; Nectriaceae. The record is from RNAcentral.
CCCAGUAACGGCGAGUGAAGCGGCAACAGCUCAAAUUUGAAAUCUGGCUCUCGGGCCCGAGUUGUAAUUUGUAGAGGAUGCUUUUGGUGAGGUGCCUUCCGAGUUCCCUGGAACGGGACGCCAUAGAGGGUGAGAGCCCCGUCUGGUUGGACACCGAUCCUCUGUAAAGCUCCUUCGACGAGUCGAGUAGUUUGGGAAUGCUGCUCUAAAUGGGAGGUAUAUGUCUUCUAAAGCUAAAUACCGGCCAGAGACCGAUAGCGCACAAGUAGAGUGAUCGAAAGAUGAAAAGAACUUUGAAAAGAGAGUUAAAAAGUACGUGAAAUUGUUGAAAGGGAAGCGCUUGUGACCAGACUUGGGCUUGGUUGAUCAUCCGGGGUUCUCCCCGGUGCACUCUUCCGGCUCAGGCCAGCAUCAGUUCGCCCUGGGGGAUAAAGGCUUCGGGAAUGUGGCUCUCUCCGGGGAGUGUUAUAGCCCGCUGCGUAAUACCCUGUGGCGGACUGAGGUUCGCGCAUUCGCAAGGAUGCUGGCGUAAUGGUCAUCAGUGACCCGUCUUGAAACACGGACCAAGGAGUCGUCUUCGUAUGCGAGUGUUCGGGUGUCAAACCCCUACGCGAAAUGAAAGUGAACGCAGGUGAGAGCUUCGGCGCAUCAUCGACCGAUCCUGAUGUUAUCGGAUGGAUUUGAGUAAGAGCAUACGGGGCCGGACCCGAAAGAAGGUGAACUAUGCCUGUGUAGGGUGAAGCCAGAGGAAACUCUGGUGGAGGCUCGCAGCGGUUCUGACGUGCAAAUCGAUCGUCAAACAUGGGCAUGGGGGCGAAAGACUAAUCGAACCUUCUAGUAGCUGGUUUCCGCCGAAGUUUCCCUCAGGAUAGCAGUGUUGAACUCAGUUUUAUGAGGUAAAGCGAAUGAUUAGGGACUCGGGGGCGCUAUUUAGCCUUCAUCCAUUCUCAAACUUUAAAUAUGUAAGAAGCCCUUGUUGCUUAA